AAGGUUUUUGGUGGAGGAAAGCGUACGUGUUUACCAAGUUCUUUAUUGCUUCAGUGCUUUACCAAUUUAUUUUUUAGGAAGAUUGAUGUUUAGGUUUUACUCAAUCGCAUUGAAAUUGAUUUUGUUGCUUUUUAAGGAGAAUAAAAGUGAUUUGUUGCUUUAGAAAAGGCAGCUUCAGAUAACAGAUGAUGUCUUCAGAAUUUCUUUAUGAAAUCUUCGAUUAGGUUAUGGGUUUUAUCUCUGGAAAAUACAGGAACUGAUUCAGAUAUUUGCAAUGUUGGUCGAUUAAUAACCGUGCAAAAGAACCAGAAAAAGGGAACUGAAUUUCUAAAUCUGUAAUGCGAAUGACCAGCUUAAAUUAGCUAGGCUAGCAAUUAGCCAAAAACUUUUAUUUUCUUAAGCAUUAGUAAAAAAAAAUAAAUAAAUACAUUUCAUCAUUUUUUGGUAGAAUUUCUUUUCAGUUUGAUUUGUAGCACGCUCAUAAUUCAAAUUUGUUGUGGUACUGGG
RNAcentral lists this unclassified non-coding RNA (507 nucleotides) under Hevea brasiliensis (rubber tree). The record is from RNAcentral. Lineage: Eukaryota; Viridiplantae; Streptophyta; Magnoliopsida; Malpighiales; Euphorbiaceae.